GUAGUCGGAUUCGCAUCAAUCCACAUGUGUUGGAGUAGGUUAGAGUGAAAAUUGAACUAAAUUCCACUCUAAUCCACUCCAACACAUGUGGAUUGAGGUGAAUCCGCA
Sorghum bicolor (sorghum) is the source of this 108-nucleotide microRNA precursor. It matches the Rfam family "MIR5565 microRNA precursor family". NCBI's taxonomy places the organism in Eukaryota, Viridiplantae, Streptophyta, Magnoliopsida, Poales, Poaceae. The record is from Rfam.